This 253-nucleotide ribosomal RNA is filed under the name uncultured bacterium. RNAcentral describes it as "partial 16S ribosomal RNA". It matches the Rfam family "Bacterial small subunit ribosomal RNA", at positions 524 to 776 of the family's 1533-position model. The record is from RNAcentral.
UACGAAGGGGGCUAGCGUUGCUCGGAAUCACUGGGCGUAAAGGGUGCGUAGGCGGGUCUUAAGUCAGGGGUGAAAUCCUGGAGCUCAACUCCAGAACUGCCUUUGAUACUGAAGAUCUUGAGUUCGGGAGAGGUGAGUGGAACUGCGAGUGUAGAGGUGAAAAUUCGUAGAUAUUCGCAAGAACACCAGUGGCGAAGGCGGCUCACUGGCCCGAUACUGACGCUGAGGCACGAAAGCGUGGGGAGCAAACAGG